GGAGGAUCCCCCCAUCACGGUUUCGCUCGGCCCCAUGGGUCGCCUCCUCCGACGGCUCCAUCCAUUCGAGGCUUCCGAGCAUCCUCUACAGAUGGGCUUACUGCCAACGGGAUCCGGCUUCUCAGAGAAGGUCUAGAAGGAUUGUACGACCACCUCAAGAAUGUGCCGGAUGCAGAUCUGGACCCGGGCGCCACCCCCGAAUGGUGGACCAAUGAGGUUCGGGAGCUUGGUUACGAUACGGAGGACUUCUUCGACGAGGUUAUGCAAUCCGGUGCUGGUGAAGUCGCCAUUGUCCGCAGAAGCUCUCGUCUUACUGCAAUCUUUGGGGCUGGCAAUAGGCGGAAGCAGCACCGGCGCCAGAUUGCGGAAGAUUUCUCACAGCUAAUGGCUCGUGUGGAUGACGCCAGAGAAAGGUGCGAAAGUUUCCAGCUUGCUCCGGCAGAGACAGCCGACCGUGGGCAAGCCGGUACCAGCCACCACAGGCCUGAUUUGUCCCCGGACCUGCCGGUGUCCGCUGUCUCCAUCCCCGACGUCAGCGUGGUCACAGCUGACCAUAGCCUUGUUGGUCUCGAGGUACCCAUGAAGAAGCUUGGUAAACUGCUGGCUUUCGACGACCACAACCAGAACCAGCUUAAGGUGAUACCCAUCAUUGGAUCUGCAGGAGUUGGAAAAACCACUGUUGCCAGAACAAUAUAUCAUCAGUAUGGAGGGGAAUUCCAGUGCAAGGCUUUUGUGCGGGUGUCCCGAAAUCCCGAUAUGAGGAGGCUUCUCACCACCAUCCUCUCACAAACUAAGGCACCAUGGACUCAUGCCUUUUCUGAUGUGCAGGACCUUAUUGAGGGUAUCAUCAAACAUCUUCAAGGAAAAAGCUACUUCAUUGUAGUCGAUGAUUUAUGGACAUCAUCAGAAUGGGAUAUUAUUAGCCGUGCUUUUCAUGAUGGUGAUUGCUGCAGCAGAAUACUGACAACCACACAAGUUGAGGAUGUAGCAUUAGCAUGUUCUGGUUAUGAGUCAGAAUACAUAUUUGAGAUGAGACCUCUUAAUUAUGGCGAAUCUCGGAAAUUAUUCUUCAAUAAUGUUUUUGGUCCUGAAGGUGAAGGUGCUUGCCCUCAAGAGUUUGAAGCAGUUGCAGAUAGGAUUAUCAGGAAAUGCGGUGGUUUACCAUUAACAAUUGUAAAUAUAGCAAGCCUGUUGGUACCAAGCAAGCGGAACCCUGUAAUGCACCAAUGGGAGAAGGUAGAAAGUUCUCUACCCUCCACUUUGUGCACAGAUCCUACUUCCCAAGGAAUGAAAGAUGUUCUAAUCCUUAUUUACAAUAAGCUUCCAGUUCAUUUGAAGACAUGCUUGCUCUACCUUAGAAUGUAUCCAGAGGGCUGCACUAUCUGGAAGGAUGAUUUGGUGAAGCAAUGGCUAGCAGAAAGUUUGGUUGGUAACACUGAGUAUGGUUACUUUGACGAGCUUGUCAGAAGAGGUAUGAUCCAACCUGUAGACACCAACUAUGAGGGGGAGGUGUUGUCAUGUACAGUUAACCACAUGGUAAUGGAUCUUAUCAGGUAA
This 1557-nucleotide ribosomal RNA is filed under the name Triticum aestivum (bread wheat). RNAcentral's name for it is "partial small subunit ribosomal RNA". Lineage: Eukaryota; Viridiplantae; Streptophyta; Magnoliopsida; Poales; Poaceae. The record is from RNAcentral.